This 428-nucleotide ribosomal RNA is filed under the name Austropeplea tomentosa. Its description in RNAcentral is "partial 16S ribosomal RNA". The record is from RNAcentral. Lineage: Eukaryota; Metazoa; Mollusca; Gastropoda; Lymnaeidae.
AGCUUUAAGAAUAUAUUUUAAGUUACUUCUGCCCAGCGUUUAUAUUAGCGGCCGCAGUACCUUGACUGUGCUAAGGUAGCAUAAUCAAUUGGCUUUUAAUUGAAGUCUGGAAUGAAAGGUUUUAUAAAGAAUUAACUGUCUCUUUAAAAUUUUAAUGAACUUAUUUAAAAAGUGAAAAUACUUUUUUAUAGAAAAAAGACGAGAAGACCCUUAGAAUUUUAAUUAAUUAAUUUAUUUAAAUUAUAUAUUUUUGUUGGGGCGACAAUGAAACAAUUAACUUUCAAUUUAAAACAAGUCAUUUUUUUUAAAGAUUAAAUUACCUUAGGGAUAACAGCAUAAUGAAUAAUUUAGUUUGUGACCUCGAUGUUGGACUAGGAACUAAAAGACUAACAGUCAUAAUAGAAUGUUCUGUUCGAACAAAAUUUCCU